GAUGAACGCUGGCGGCGUGCCUAAUACAUGCAAGUCGAGCGAACGGACGAGAAGCUUGCUUUUCUGAUGUUAGCGGCGGACGGGUGAGUAACACGUGGAUAACCUACCUAUAAGACUGGGAUAACUUCGGGAAACCGGAGCUAAUACCGGAUAAUAUUUUGAACCGCAUGGUUCAAAAGUGAAAGACGGUCUUGCUGUCACUUAUAGAUGGAUCCGCGCUGCAUUAGCUAGUUGGUAAGGUAACGGCUUACCAAGGCAACGAUGCAUAGCCGACCUGAGAGGGUGAUCAGCCACACUGGAACUGAGACACGGUCCAGACUCCUACGGGAGGUAGCAGUAGGGAAUCUUCCGCAAUGGGCGAAAGCCUGACGGAGCAACGCCGCGUGAGUGAUGAAGGUCUUCGGAUCGUAAAACUCUGUUAUUAGGGAAGAACAUAUGUGUAAGUAACUGUGCACAUCUUGACGUUACCUAAUCAGAAAGCCACGGCUAACUACGUG
This 497-nucleotide ribosomal RNA is filed under the name uncultured bacterium. RNAcentral describes it as "partial 16S ribosomal RNA". It matches the Rfam family "Bacterial small subunit ribosomal RNA", at positions 28 to 507 of the family's 1533-position model. The record is from RNAcentral.